RNAcentral lists this ribosomal RNA (414 nucleotides) under uncultured bacterium. RNAcentral describes it as "bacterial SSU rRNA". It matches the Rfam family "Bacterial small subunit ribosomal RNA", at positions 945 to 1359 of the family's 1533-position model. RNAcentral also lists the same sequence under 1 other name. The record is from RNAcentral.
UUUAAUUCGAUGCAACGCGAAGAACCUUACCUGGUCUUGACAUCCACGGAAGUUUUCAGAGAUGAGAAUGUGCCUUCGGGAACCGUGAGACAGGUGCUGCAUGGCUGUCGUCAGCUCGUGUUGUGAAAUGUUGGGUUAAGUCCCGCAACGAGCGCAACCCUUAUCCUUUGUUGCCAGCGGUCCGGCCGGGAACUCAAAGGAGACUGCCAGUGAUAAACUGGAGGAAGGUGGGGAUGACGUCAAGUCAUCAUGGCCCUUACGACCAGGGCUACACACGUGCUACAAUGGCGCAUACAAAGAGAAGCGACCUCGCGAGAGCAAGCGGACCUCAUAAAGUGCGUCGUAGUCCGGAUUGGAGUCUGCAACUCGACUCCAUGAAGUCGGAAUCGCUAGUAAUCGUGGAUCAGAAUGCCA